Molecule: long non-coding RNA, 1314 nt
Filed under: Sinocyclocheilus anshuiensis
Lineage: Eukaryota; Metazoa; Chordata; Actinopteri; Cypriniformes; Cyprinidae
Description: lncRNA (ENSSANG00000029000.1)
Source: RNAcentral
UGCCAAGCUUGCUAUGAACGAACUGCAUGCGGCCAUUAGUAAACAACAGACUGCUCACCCGGAGGCUGCAUUUAUUGUCGCGGGUGAUUUUAAUCACUCCAACUUAAAGACAGUGCUCCCCAAAUUUCAUCAGCAUGUUUCCUGCCACACUAGAGGAGACAAAACUUUGGAUCAUGUUUACACAAACAUUGAUGGAGCUUACAUCGCAACCCCCCUCCCCCACCUGGGACAGUCUGAUCACCUUUCUUUGUUUCUCACCCCUAAGUAUUCACCCCUCAUCAACUGUGUGAAGCCAUCAGUGAGGACCAUCAAAGUGUGGCCAAUAGGAGCAGACUCUUUACUUCAGGACAGGUUUCAAUACACGGACUGGAGUAUGUUUGCUUCUCAGGCUGCCUGUGACUCUCACACGGACAUUGAUAUCUAUACCUCCUCUGUAAUGGAUUACAUCAACACCACCAUUGACAGUGUUACAACAGAGAAACAGAUCACAACAUACCCUAAUCAGAAGCCAUGGAUGAACAAGGAGGUGCGACACCUGCUGAAAGCCCGCAACGCUGCCUUCAGAUCAGAUGACGCUCAGGCCUACAGCAAAUCCAGGGCUAACCUGAGGAGGGGCAUCAAAAAGGCCAAGUACUGCUACAAGCUAAAGGUAGAGGAACACUUUUCCAACUCUGACCCCCGACGCAUGUGGCAGGGCAUCCAGGUCAUCAGUGACUACAAGCCAAGCAACUCCACUCCAACGGUCACAGACGUCUCUUUCCUUAACGAGCUGAAUGACUUUUAUGCUCGCUUCGACAGUGACAGCAAGGAGACGGCCACCAAGAUCACACUCUCAGCAGACCACCAACCCCUCAAACUCACCUCCACAGAUGUCUACACUGCAUUGAGCCAGAUCAACGCACGCAAGGCUGCUGGCCCCGACGGCAUUCCUGGACGUGUGCUUAGGGCAUGUGCAGAGCAGCUCGCAGGGGUCUUCACAGACAUUUUCAACCUGUCCCUCACCCAAGCAACUGUGCCAACAUGCUUUAAGUCCACAUCCAUUGUGCCAGUGCCGAAACACUCCUCCCCGACGUGCCUGAAUGACUACCGCCCCGUAGCACUCACACCUAUUGUUAUGAAGUGCUUUGAGCGACUGGUCCUAGCUCACCUUAAGAACUGCCUCCCACCCACACUGGACCCACACCAAUUUGCCUACCGUAGCAAUAGGAGCACAGAGGAUGCAGUAAGCACAGUGCUGCACUCGGUACUCACACACUUGGACAAUAACAACACAUAUGUACGGAUGUUGUUUGUUGACUUCAGCUCAGCAUUUAA